UCCUUGCGGCAUGAGCCAUCA
RNAcentral lists this non-coding RNA (21 nucleotides) under Caenorhabditis elegans. The record is from RNAcentral. Lineage: Eukaryota; Metazoa; Nematoda; Chromadorea; Rhabditida; Rhabditidae.